GGGUAGGUACCAAAGUGGUCAAACGGGGCAGACUGUAAAUCUGCUGGCUUUACGCCUUCGAAGGUUCGAAACCUUCCCUGCCCACCA
Molecule: transfer RNA, 87 nt
Filed under: Candidatus Peregrinibacteria bacterium
Lineage: Bacteria; Candidatus Peregrinibacteriota
Also listed under: 1 other name
Description: tRNA-Tyr
Rfam family: tRNA
About the family: Transfer RNA (tRNA) molecules are approximately 80 nucleotides in length.
Source: RNAcentral